AUUAUGACACUGGUGUGAUAUCUCAAGUUACUCAACAUCUCUGCUCGUCCCAAUGUGGAUGCAUCAGGUCUCAAAUUGCCAGAGAAGAAGGGCUCAAUAAUCAAGACAACAGCGACUGUAGCACCAAGAUACUUGUGCAAGAAAUCCUGAAUCAUCCCAAACCACCAGUGCUCAUGAAGAACGGCCUUCAUAUGCCGAACUAGAGUCUUAAACUUCUGUUGAAUGUGAAAAUCUUCUCUGGUUUCACCACCAUAAAAUGCUAUGCUUUCUGCAUGGGUCCUUAAUCUUGAGUGAAGCUGCCUGUAUUCCCCUUCCAGUUGCUGUUCUUUUGACAUUAGUUUCCCAAAUGGAGGUGAGAAAUUUCUAAUAGUAAGCCCUGCUCCCAGUACAUAUGCCAAAAUCCAGAAAAGAUACUUCGGACUUGCAUACGAACACAGGCGCCAAG
Molecule: unclassified non-coding RNA, 445 nt
Filed under: Hevea brasiliensis (rubber tree)
Lineage: Eukaryota; Viridiplantae; Streptophyta; Magnoliopsida; Malpighiales; Euphorbiaceae
Source: RNAcentral